This 76-nucleotide transfer RNA is filed under the name Anaerolineae bacterium. RNAcentral's name for it is "tRNA-Ala". It matches the Rfam family "tRNA". Rfam says of the family: Transfer RNA (tRNA) molecules are approximately 80 nucleotides in length. Their secondary structure includes four short double-helical elements and three loops (D, anti-codon, and T loops). Lineage: Bacteria; Bacillati; Chloroflexota; Anaerolineae. The record is from RNAcentral.
GGGGAUGUAGCUCAGCUGGGAGAGCGCCUCCCUUGCACGGAGGAGGGCAGGGGUUCGAAUCCCCUCAUCUCCACCA